GUAACCUACGGGACGCAGCAGUGGGGGAUAUUGCACAAUGGGGGGAACCCUGAUGCAGCGACGCCGCGUGGGCGAUGGAGUGCUUCGGCAUGUAAAGCCCUAUCAGCAGGGAAGAAAAUGACGGUACCUGACUAAGAAGCCCCGGCUAAAUACGUGCCAGCAGCCGCGGUAAUACGUAUGGGGCAAGCGUUAUCCGGAUUUACUGGGUGUAAAGGGAGCGUAGACGGCGCGGCAAGUCUGAAGUGAAAGGCAGGGGCUUAACCCCUGAACUGCUUUGGAAACUGCCAUGCUAGAGUGCUGGAGAG
RNAcentral lists this ribosomal RNA (305 nucleotides) under uncultured bacterium. RNAcentral's name for it is "bacterial SSU rRNA". It matches the Rfam family "Bacterial small subunit ribosomal RNA", at positions 334 to 656 of the family's 1533-position model. The record is from RNAcentral.